CUUGCAAGUGAUGAUAAACAGACAGGGACAUCAGCACUCUAAUUGAGGAUGUUGAUUUGUCGUUGGGAAUCUCUCUGAUGCAUA
Non-coding RNA from Morus notabilis, 84 nucleotides. NCBI's taxonomy places the organism in Eukaryota, Viridiplantae, Streptophyta, Magnoliopsida, Rosales, Moraceae. The record is from Rfam.